Molecule: unclassified non-coding RNA, 279 nt
Filed under: plant metagenome
Description: partial contains small subunit ribosomal RNA, internal transcribed spacer 1, and 5.8S ribosomal RNA
Source: RNAcentral
UUUCCGUAGGUGAACCUGCGGAAGGAGCAGUAUUGUAUAACCGAGGAGGGAGGGCUGUCGCUGACCCGACAGUGCGUGCACGCCCGAGAGCGAUCACACACAUCCAUCUCACCCCUAUGUGCACCACCGCGUGGGUCCCCCUUUGGCUUGUUCGGGGGGGGUUUUACGGUAUUACUGAAACUUUGGAGGGCGUGUGGAGUGUAUUAUUUGUUUUUGCGAAUACGCAAUCAAUACAACUUUCAACAAUGGAUCCCAGGGUUCUCGCAUCGAUGAAGAAAG